AAUAAACGCUGGCGGCGUGCCUAACACAUGCAAGUCGGACGAGAAAGGCUGAUUUUCGGAUUAGCCGAGUAAAGUGGCGCACGGGUGAGUAACGCGUAGGUAACCUACCCUUGUAUUUGGGAUAACAGGACGAAAGUUUUGCUAAUACCGGAUACGACCUGAGGGCGGAGGUUUUCAGGUGAAAGUCGGCCUCUUCGAGAAAGCUGACGUACAGGGAUGGGUCUGCGUCCUAUCAGCUAGUUGGUGGGGUAACGGCCUACCAAGGCGACGACGGGUAGCUGGUCUGAGAGGAUGAUCAGCCACACUGGCACUGGAACACGGGCCAGACUCCUACGGGAGGCAGCAGUGAGGAAUUUUGCGCAAUGGCCGCAAGGCUGACGCAGCAACGCCGCGUGGGUGAAGAAGGCCUUCGGGUCGUAAAGCCCUGUCAGGUGGGAAGAAAGGUUUCGUCAAGAAACGGAUGGAAUUUGACGGUACCACCAGAGGAAGCACCGGCUAACUCCGUGCCAGCAGCCGCGGUAAUACGGAGGGUGCGAGCGUUAUUCGGAAUUAUUGGGCGUAAAGCGCGAGUAGGCGGGGAUGCAAGUCUGAUGUGAAAGCCCUGGGCUUAACCUGGGAAGUGCAUUGGAAACUGCAUUUCUUGAGUACUGGAGAGGAAGGGGGAAUUCCCGGUGUAGAGGUGAAAUUCGUAGAGAUCGGGAGGAAUACCAGUGGCGUAGGCGCCUUUCUGGACGGUUACUGACGCUGAGACGCGAAAGCGUGGGGAGCAAACAGGAUUAGAUACCCUGGUAGUCCACGCUGUAAACGAUGAGCACUAGGUGUAGCGGGUACUCAUUCCUGCUGUGCCGUAGCUAACGCGUUAAGUGCUCCGCCUGGGGAGUACGUUCGCAAGGCUGAAACUCAAAGGAAUUGACGGGGGCCCGCACAAGCGGUGGAGUAUGUGGUUUAAUUCGAUGCAACGCGAAGAACCUUACCUGGGUUUGACAUCCC
Molecule: ribosomal RNA, 990 nt
Filed under: uncultured bacterium
Lineage: Bacteria
Description: bacterial SSU rRNA
Rfam family: Bacterial small subunit ribosomal RNA
Source: RNAcentral